AACGAACGCUGGCGGCAUGCCUAACACAUGCAAGUCGAACGAGACCUUCGGGUCUAGUGGCGCACGGGUGCGUAACGCGUGGGAACCUGCCCUUAGGUUCGGAAUAACUCCCCGAAAGGGGUGCUAAUACCGGAUAAUGCCUUCGGACCAAAGAUUUAUCGCCUUUGGAUGGGCCCGCGUUGGUUUAGCUAGUUGGUAGGGUAAAAGCCUACCAAGGCGACGAUCCAUAGCUGGUCUGAGAGGAUGAUCAGCCACACUGGGACUGAGACACGGCCCAGACUCCUACGGGAGGCAGCAGUGGGGAAUAUUGGACAAUGGGCGAAAGCCUGAUCCAGCAAUGCCGCGUGAGUGAUGAAGGCCUUAGGGUUGUAAAGCUCUUUUACCCGGGAUGAUAAGGACGGUACCGGGAGAAUAAGCUCCGGCUAACUCCGU
RNAcentral lists this ribosomal RNA (432 nucleotides) under uncultured bacterium. RNAcentral's name for it is "partial 16S ribosomal RNA". It matches the Rfam family "Bacterial small subunit ribosomal RNA", at positions 29 to 506 of the family's 1533-position model. The record is from RNAcentral.